This is a long non-coding RNA of Manis pentadactyla (Chinese pangolin), 8165 nucleotides long. RefSeq lists it as uncharacterized. The transcript has 4 exons. The record is from RefSeq and is a predicted model, not a curated record. NCBI's taxonomy places the organism in Eukaryota, Metazoa, Chordata, Mammalia, Pholidota, Manidae.
AGGGACUGAGGAGGUCACCCGGGCUGUGGGAAGAGGGGCACGGGGUCAGAAUCGAAGGAAGCUGGAAGCUGAGGAUUUUGGGGUGGGAUACCUGGGGGUAAGGAGGAUGGAGCCGCUGAGAAGGACGGAAAGGGGAUACACUGGCGUUAUGAAAUCCCCUCUAGGGUGGACGGAGACAGAUAACUAAUAGACUAAACCCUGCCUGGGAAAAGGAUUCCUUACUACCUCCUCACACAGUACUAGCUUGCCUGCAAAACCUGGCUUGGGUGGGAAGUAUUUCUAGGUAGCAGAAGUCUUUGAACCCAGGGUUUAAAAAAAGUCUUUUUUGUUGUUAAAAUGCUAGUAAAAUCUCAAGGGCAAUGAUUUCCUUAAUGCAUACCCAAAAACAAAGCUCUGGUUAAAUGCAGAGUGGUUGGUUGAUCACCGUGAAAGAGGAACUUAAUUUGUGAAUUAUCUCUGAGAAAGGGCAGUCUAUCAUUUUAAAUGCAAAUGAUGCCCCCUAAAAAAGCUGCCCUGUUUUAAAACUACUAAUCAAGUUUGAUUUGAUUUAGGAAUAUUUUAUCAAUCAGCUGAAGAUAGAAGGAACACCUCCCACGCCAUGUAACAAAUGAAAUCCCAAGUAACAGUCGCUAUGAGGGUUACACACAAGGCGGUGUGAUAUUUGCAACUAGUCGAAUACUCGUGGUUGAUUUCUUGACUGAUAGAAUUCCUUCAGAUUUAAUUACUGUGAUAGUGCUUCAAAACACUACACUGUAUUUGCUGUUUAUUUACUCCUCUCACUUGUGAGAUAAUAAGCUUCGUAAGUACAAGGAACAACUUACUCAUCCUGGACGAAGUAACUGGUCCAUAGCAGGUACUACACACAUAUCUGUUGGAUGAAUGAUUCAUGGCUAUCCUGGGAUCUGGUGAACCUCUGGAGGGCAGAGAGAAAAUGAAAUUCUUAAUCGUACUUCCCACCGUAUCUAUCUUCUUGCCCGAGACUUAGAUGACCCUGAAGAAAUAGUUAAUAAGCAAAUGUAUGAAUGAAUGCUUUAUAUGGUUCAUAAUAAACUGAUGAAGGAAAAGUUUCAUUAUACUUUCAUAACAUCACUAAUUGUUACAAGCUGUGGCACAAGCAUGUGUGGUCAGACUUACCUGGCUCUGACUGGUAAUACUACUGCAGACAGACAAGUUACCUAAUUGCGUGAGCCUCCGUUUUUCUCAUUUCUUAAAUUGAGAGAUUAAGGUGCUCCUAGAGUUAUCAUGAGGACUAAGACAGAUAAAAUAAAUCAGUUGCUUAGAAUGGUGCCUGGUACAUAAUAUACAAUUCAUAAAUAAUAUCAAAAAAAGUAUUGUCUUUUUGUAACUAGAAAUCUUAAUAUGUGGUAAAUUCUUUUACUGUUUGCUGCUUUCUUAUAAGCUGUUUUUUAAUUGGUAUAAUGAAAACAAAGUGUUGAAACUACCACUAGAUGUCAGUAUUACUCAGAUAUACAGAAACAGUUCAACCUAAUAAGGCGGAGAGCAAUUUGAAUCAAAGCAAUGUCCAUAGCUUAUGGGUAGUUCCUGAUUAAAAAUGCCAGAUUCCAUGCCCAUUUCUGAUUAGUUCCAACCAGUGAUGAAGCUGGAGCUGCCACUGCUGCUCAGCUGAAUAGAAUGCAAAUGAAUGCCAAAAACGAAUUCCUUCAAAUUCUCUACCACCUGGGAUCAUGUCCCAGGAGCUCAUUUGUGCUUUCACCCCAGCUUUUACAGACCAAAGAGCAGUCCCCAAAUCACGGAUCAUUUGGGAAGUGCUGUAUGUCCCCAGCCCUAACUUGCCCUUGUUACUACCCAUUAUCACCACCCCCAGUCCACCCUAGGGGCACCUGUCAACCACAUCUCCUAAACAAUGAGAGAACUGUGUAUCUACCCAGAUUGUACUUUGAAAAGAAUGGGGACAGGAGGAUGCUUUCCCUCCUAAAACAGCUCCUUACAGCUCCAAGUAGAACUCAGAACACACUUUCUAUAGGACACUUAAAAAAAGUAACUCAUGUUAGAUUUGUCCCCACCAUGCCAUAAUUCGGCUUUGCGUUUAUUCAACAAACAUGUAGUUCACCACGUGUCCCAUGUUUGGCAGGAAUGUGGUAGGUGCUGAAGACAAAGAUAAAUUGCACAGUGUGGUUGAACUCUUUUAGGGCUGCCCCUGAGUUUGAGCUUAUCUUCACGGUGAACUAAAUGUGUGACCCUGGGCAAGUUUCUUAAUUUCCAUGUGACUCAGUUUACUCAUCUGUCAAUUGACAACAGUAAUAGUACCUCCCUUCUAAGGUGGUUGUGAUGGUGAGAUGAGAUAAUGCAUGUCAGAUUCUUAGCAUCAUGCAUGGCACAUUGCAAACAUUUGUGUGAUUUCUGCUUGUUAGAAUGUUCUUGUCCCCAAGCAGUUUAGUGGAGCAGAUAGAUGGCAAGAAGUAAUUACAAUAUGAAAUAGGAGCUGUGAUCGGUGCAUAAAAAUUUAAGUAUGCUUUUGUGGGACUCUUGGCUUGCCUCCAGAAAUAUAACCUGCUUGUGGUGUUUUCAUUUUUAUAUUUUAAAGGGCAGGUCCUGGCUUGUCAGUUGCACAUGAUUUGGAACCUCUGGUUUCCCAUUACUUGCUGGAUGACCUUGAUCAAGUUGUUUGAUCAAGUUGUCUUUCCGUGGUCACGUAAUAAUACCUACCCUAUAGAAUCAUUGUAAGGGUUAAAUAAAAUAAAAAACUGUAAAAGUACUCAAACCCAGUGCCUGGGAUAUAAUAUUCUCUUCUUCCUCCUUCUGGGUUCUAAAAGAAUGACAACCUUUUAGAGCACAUUUCCUUAAAUUAAGGGUCUCCUUUUCUUUAAAAGUCCAUUUUUAUUAUUUUUAACUUCACGUAAUAUUUCAAUGCAGGCCAGCAAAUGUGGCCCAGUACAAUGCUUGGAAAAGCCCACCUACUGGGUAGAAAAUCUUUUCUGAGUAGGAAAUUAGCUAUAUAAAUGGGUAACUCAAAAUCCUUUAUCUACAAAUUCCUAAGUAACACUCUUAAUUUUUACUGUAUUUGGAAACCAGCUUGUUUAGAUAGAAUAAAUUUUAACUCCAUCCUCUCAAUCCAAACUUUAAACACCAAAAUAUAGAAUCUGCAUUGAGUGUAUUGAACUACUAGAAACAAUCAUAAAUUACUAUUAGUGUCAUUUUCCAAACCCUAGGAAUGAUGAGAACUGGGACAAAAACACGUGAGCACAUUUAUACACACAUGUAAAAGGUAACUGGCUUGAUUUAAGUCCAGAAGACAGAAUCGUCAUAAAUAAUUGCACUUCUGAUCUGGAAAUGAUUUUUAUGCACUUGUAUAUCAUCACAUGUCUCUCCCUAAUUUAUCACUAAUCACACUGCACCAAAAUGGCACAUAUAUAUACAUUAUAUAGACAUUUUAUCGAUAGAUGAUAGGUAGAUCCAUCAUCUGGUCGAGGGCUCUCAUUUUAUAAAUAAGGAAACGUAUAACUGUGCUUGUUCUUGUGAUUCAAAGGUGUCACUGUCAUACCAUCUCCAAAAAAAACCAGAUGUAUUAAAUAUAAUGUAGUCAUUAAAGGUUAGUACUUUCAGUAGACUAAUUUAUCUCUCGACCGAAUAUACUCUGCUUCUGAUAACUGAAUUAUUCUAGUAGGCAACACAGAUGUUGCCCGGACUUCUGAAAUGCAGCUGUUUUAUGUAGCCCACAGCUGAUUCAGAUAUAAAAGGAAAAUCAGUGACUCACUUUGCUUUCAGAAACUCUCUUCCACCAUGCCAGACACUCCCCACUCCAGGGCCUUUGUUCUUUGUUGCUUUCUCAGCCUGGAGCCCUCUUGGCCCGCAGCUCACUUCCUUGACUUCACCUAAGCCUCUACUCAGAUGUGAGGCCCCCCUGUCUAAAGUUGCAGCCCACCAUCAUACCUCACACAUACUCCCUCUUCUCCUCUGGUUAAUUUUUCUACUUAGCACUCAUCACCUUGUAUGCUCUCAAAUAUUGUCUGUACUUCUUUAUAUUGCUUAUCGUAAGUGUCAUGAGGACAGGGGUUUGCAUCUGGUUGUCCAUGGCUGUGUCCCCAGCCUAGAACAGUUCCUGCCCAAGUUUAUGCAGGUGCUGAAGAAAAAUGGGACAAGUUAGUGAAUGAACAUGAGCGGGAAAAUUCCAUGUCUGUUCUGUGAAAUAAAUGAUAACUUCCUCCCUCAGGCAUCUUGGUGUUCAGAGCUCACAGAAUCAUCAAGUCCUGUCAAGAAGCAUUCAUCUUGCGCCUGUUCUGCCAGAAAAAUAAAACGUGGCUUCAUUAAAGCUUUCACAGACAAUGCUGUCGCCUUUGACACUGGUUUUUGUCAUGUGGAAAGAAUGAUGAGAAAUCUCUUCGUAAGGAAGUUGUAUCUGUGGCCAAGCUAAACAGCAUUAUGUGACAGACAUCUGUGAGCACAUCUGCUGUUCCAUGUAGCAGUAAACUCAUUUUUAGAACAGCACAAACCUGAAGUCCUAGAAAUUCAUGUCUCUAUGACACCAGCCAUGCUUGCUAUACAGACUGCCAUACUGGACAUCUUAAAUGCAUGUUUGAAGGAACUGAAGUGCUGUAACUUGUCACUUGACGUUGAAUAUUUAUCUUUAGAAAACACUAUUGGAAAAUCCUUUGACAAGAUAUUCUGUUUCUUUUCCCUUUUAAGCAUAGCUUGUCCUGUUAAAACCGUAGAGAAUGCAAGUUAAUUUAGUAUUGCCAUGUUCUUAAUAGGAAUUUGCUGUUAUUUUAAAAUUAAAUUGGAAGUGAUUUAAAGUAUAGCUUCUUUGGUUUAGUGGAAAGUAAUUUAUAGUGACAUACAUGGAUUGGCAUAUCCGCAUGACUCUAAUUUUUGCAGUUAUACAGUGAUUAUCUCUCAUUUUACGUAUAAUGAAGAAAAAGAUAAAUACCUUUUUGCUCUGAAGCAACCUUUGGAUAUCUUCAGGUAGAAGAGUUUUACAUAAGUGCAUUUGUAAUUUAUGAUCUCUUGUUUCGAGUAAAAAUAAUUUGGAUGAGUUUUCACUAUUGAGGAAUGUGAAACUUGCUCUGUCCUAAAAGUACAUUCCGAACUGAGAAAAUGGUAAGACUUUAGUUCAAGGAAUUUUUAUUCUGAUUUUUUUCAUCAUAGAUUAAUAUUAAUACAGACACAUAAAUGUCUAAGAUUGAAUUAUAGAUCCUGAAAAUGCUGACUUUUUAAAAAUUCCAGGCAACUUACUUUAGAUAUUUUGGUAGAACAGGUUCCUGCCUUUUUAAACUCUGAAUCGACCCUUUGUGGCUGGAAGAGGAAAAAUGUAACUCCUCAUUUCUCUGAUUCAUCCAAAAAUUAUUUUACUGUGGAAUAAUGAUACAUAAGACUAAUUUCAUGUGUUUUGUUCCUCUACUCUUAAAGCUUAGGGCAUAGUGAAACCAAAAAAAACCUCCACAUCUUCACAUUCUUUUAAUAGACUGUAUAUUCCUAGAAAAACAAAAUGUAGCCUAGUAUGUUUUGCACUAAAUUUCUGUUUAUCAUCCCCUGGCUAGUAAAAAUCAAAGUUACUUUUAGUAACCAAAUCUACAUACAACUUGGGUCUUGUUAGAAAAUUUCAUUUUUGUAGAUGAUUUUAUAAAACAAGCAUGCAAAUAUAUGUCCCAGUAUAUCUAAGACAGCCUUGGUAUCUGCCUAUUGUCCUGGAGUAAUCAUUAGUAGUAGCAUUUCAUUUUCACAAGAGUUGUGUUUUGAGCAAUAAAUCUUCUAAGUAUUAUUCCUGCUCAGUAUUAAAUUUGUUAGAUAAGAUGCCAUGUAGUGAUACUGCUUCCCUAUCAUGUUGUGUAUCAUCUUUUUAAAUUACAGAAUCAGUUUACGAAGGACAGGAAGUGUGUGUGUGUGUGUGUGUGUGUGUGUGUGUGUGUGUGUGUUUGUACACCCACAUAACCCACAUAGUAUAUACAAAAAGCUGUUCUGUGUUUUAGGCAACUUUUUAGGAUCUUAAAAGUUAUUCAAACUUAGCCCACUGUUAAUUUAACAAAUAUCUUCCCAUCCAUGAAGCACAGUGGUAAAAAAAUUAACAAAUAUUUUAUGCCACCAAAUUAAGAUACAUUGUUGUUUAAUUUGAUACCACAUUGUUUCCCUGGUUUAUGCCUUCAGCUUCAUCAUCUCUCUGACUGGAUCCCACAUCUUUAUCUAUCCAGGAUAAGAUCUCAGCCCACCUUGGCAGAAAUUGAGUGUUUCUGAGCUACCUGCUUUGACUUUUCAUAAAAACAAACAAUUGAUUAUCUGAUUCUUAUCAGGUCUUUUCUCUCCUGACCAAUAAAGUAAAUGUAGAUAAUUAUGAAUUGACUAUCUGAUCAUAAAGACUUUAGUGAUAAGAUACUCUGUUUCAUUUUUGAAAAAUUAAACAUAUAAUUAGAAUCUUAGGAACUGAAAUUUUCUGUCCACCUCCUUGGGAGAUAAUGUUUUGGAUUUUUUGUAUGUGUGUGACAAAAUAUAUGUGAACAUAAAAUUUACUAUUUUAACCAUUUUUCGGUACACAGGGAUAAUGUUUUUUGAGACUAUAGUGUUAAUAAUAGCUAUGUAGAACAUAUUUUUAGCAAUAUUAAAUUUUACCCUUAUUUUAGACAAUCCACCAUUAUCUGGAUCCUUUGUGGCACCAGCUUGGAGCCAAGACUAAAUCCUUGGUUCAGGAUUUGAAGAUACUACGAACUUUGCUGCAGUAUCUUUCUCAGUAUGAUUGUAUCACAUUUCUUAAACUUCUGGAAUCUCUGAGAGCAGCAGAAAAGGCUUUUGGUCAGAAUUCAGGUUGACUGUUUCUGGACUCCUGCACCUCGAUGUUUCUAAAUGAUCGAGCAAGGGUUUAUCAUGUUCCAGAUGCCAAAAUGAGCAGGAAAGGAAAAAUGUCUGAAAAAAUGGAGUUUAAAGAAGGGCAGGGUAUGUCAUAGGCUUAAGUCUUUAAAUGUGUCUUUUAUUUCAGUGAUUGGUUGGAAGUACUUAACAAGUUAAUGUGUGAUUUUAAGUCUCCUUCAGCCAUCAGAAAAUGUAUGCCGGUAUGAUAAAUGUAUGUUGUAUGUAAUUCUGUUAAAAGUAUUAACAUGACAAGUCUUAGAAUCUGUUGCUGGGGAUUCUGGAUAACAAAGGCCAAGUAUCAAUCAAGAACAUUCUUACUUCUACUUAAGAACUAGAUUGAUUUUUUGUAACUUUAGACUAAUAAUUGCCACUUCUGUCACUUAAAGUCUUAAUGGAAUAUUUUAACAUCCCUCUGGGCUUUUAAAAGACAUAAAUAUACUAGAAUGAGACAAAUAUGGAUUUUAUUCCGACACUCAUCUAGUAGAUAUAAUGAAUAUUGUUUUUUUAAGGUAUGGGAGAGGGCAAAUGCUUACUUUCUGCUUAGUUCAAAGGUCUAGUUCAAAAGUUAAAUAUUUUAGGGAUGUGUUUGAGUACUUUACUAACAGAAAUAAAAGUUUGUUGUCUACUUCUAUUGCAUGUUCAGGGUUGUGAAAAUCAUGAUGAUUAUAGAAAUAAUCAAUGCUAUUAUUCUGUUCUGGUUCCUUUAUCUGUAUGGCAGCUUAUACAUAGUGUCACAGUUGACAGUUAACACAGAAUAAUCUAGUAUUAGUAACCAUGCAUAUAACUUUCUAUUGAGACAUUAUAAAGCUUGUAUUAAUGUUUGUUUGAAGCAUCUUUCCUUUAGACCAUAACUAGACAAUUUUCAGGAAAAUAGAUUGUCUAGCAUUAUGAAGGCCCCACAAAGGAAAGGGAUAAGAGAAUGAUGCUUGAGUUAUCUCUUGGACAGAGGAAACUUGACCCUGCCCUCCCAACUCCCUGCCUGCCUGUGCCUCACCUGAAAGCUGCCUGUGUCCUUGGAUCCCCACCCUCUGGAUAUAAAAUAGUUUGCCUCUAAACUUUUGUAGUUAAUUCUUGUAUUAAAUUCCUUUGACAUCUAAUGUGAGUUUUGUGUUCCUGGCUGCACCCUGACUAAUAUAAACACCUUUGCAAAAAAGCACAUCAAGGUUGACAUCACUAAAGGUGUGCCUAUGUUUCACUGUUUGAAUGUUCCAUGAAUGUUCUAACAUUUAUUUAAUCAUUUGGCUAUUGAUGAACAUUUAACUUCUUUCCAAGUUUUUUGCUACCACAAUUUGUGCUGUAAUGAAUAUAUCUGUAUAUAUAUGUAUUUCUAUAGGACAGAGUAAAAUUGCUAGGAGUAAUAUUGCUAGGUC